RNAcentral lists this ribosomal RNA (497 nucleotides) under uncultured bacterium. RNAcentral's name for it is "partial 16S ribosomal RNA". It matches the Rfam family "Bacterial small subunit ribosomal RNA", at positions 28 to 507 of the family's 1533-position model. The record is from RNAcentral.
GAUGAACGCUGGCGGCGUGCCUAAUACAUGCAAGUCGAGCGAACAGACGAGGAGCUUGCUCCUCUGACGUUAGCGGCGGACGGGUGAGUAACACGUGGAUAACCUACCUAUAAGACUGGGAUAACUUCGGGAAACCGGAGCUAAUACCGGAUAAUAUAUUGAACCGCAUGGUUCAAUAGUGAAAGACGGCUUUGCUGUCACUUAUAGAUGGAUCCGCGCCGCAUUAGCUAGUUGGUAAGGUAACGGCUUACCAAGGCAACGAUGCGUAGCCGACCUGAGAGGGUGAUCGGCCACACUGGAGCUGAGACACGGUCCAGACUCCUACGGGAGGCAGCAGUAGGGAAUCUUCCGCAAUGGGCGAAAGCUUGACGGAGCAACGCCGCGUGAGUGAUGAAGGUCUUCGGAUCGUAAAACUCUGUUAUGAGGGAAGAACAAAUGUGUAAGUAACUAUGCACGUCUUGACGGUACCUAAUCAGAAAGCCACGGCUAACUACGUG